This 5445-nucleotide long non-coding RNA is filed under the name Sus scrofa (pig). RNAcentral's name for it is "lncRNA (ENSSSCG00000048855.1)". Lineage: Eukaryota; Metazoa; Chordata; Mammalia; Artiodactyla; Suidae. The record is from RNAcentral.
AGGAGGCGGAAGAAGAGGGAGGGUGAUAGUUUGAAGGCUUCCCAGUCUAAACGCGAAUGCCCCUGCAGAUGAUGGCCACCUGGUGCCCCAAAGCCCUAAGAUCGUGUCUCUUGAGCACCUCCACUGUUGCACUAGCGCGGGAGCUGCCUGCACCUGUGUCUCUUCAUCUCGGGGGUCGGCAUCCGGACAAAGCGGUGGAUGUUACCGACCCCAUCUCACACGCAAAGACCGGGCCACUGAGAGAGGUACCAGGAGCUGUCCCGAGAUUCAGCCAGCAGACACUGGAGCCAGGAUGAGAAGCCCCCGCCCCAGUGCGCCCCUCCGGCUGCCUCCCUGGAAGAGGGCUGUGGGGAGCGGGGCUCUGAGGAAGGAAGGCCUGGCUGCUGGUGUCUGUCUGUCCCUUCCUAGAAUCCUCUCCUCCUCCUCCAGUCCCAUUCCUCUGCUUUCCAGUGCUGAGUCUGGGGUGAAUGAAUGCAUCCCCCACAUCCACCUCCAGAUGGUGAUGGGUCUGGCUGGCCUGAGACCUUGCUAGCCGCUUGGCACUCAGCUCGCCACAAACACGUCCCUGGAGAUAUUCCUGCAGUGGCUGCACCCCAAGAAACACUCGGCUCUGGACAGAAAUCAGGUUUAUAGAUUUGGCUCAGAAAUCACUGUGAAGCUUGACUCGCUGUACAGAGUUGGCCACUCUGCUGAGCGUGGGACCCCAAGAGCAGCACAGCGUGUCCUGCCAGCCACCUGUGGCACCCCCGUCUGUUUGCUUCACCUGCCCUGCGUCUGCUCUUCAGGUCUCCAAGCGCAAACCAGAGGGCUGCUGGGCGCAAGGCUGCAUCUGUGAAGGCUGCUGGGAGCUUGUCUGGGAAUUCAGGUGAAUUUAAGUCAAGACCCUCCCAAGAAGCCCCGGGACACAGCGCUGAAGGGACUUCUGGUCAAGGAGGGUCUCCCUGGGUCCAAUUCCUGAGCCCGAUCUCAGCUCAGCUUCUUUGACUUUCUCCGAUGGCCCUGGGACAGCUGAGUUCUGUACGGUGGAGUUGAACCUUCGAUAUUCUUCCCCUGGAGGUUUGGAAGAGCCUGUUCUGCAGGAUUAAGGGAAGUGGGGCCCUUCUCUGCAAGGGUCUUUGCCGGGAGAGCCACUGUCACACGCAAAGCCAUCUUGCUUCCGAUCAGGAUGCUCAGCUCUUACCUUAUACUUUACCAGCCAAAGCCAAGACCUCAGGCGGCUGCGUAAGCUACAAACAUUGGCCAAAGCUCCUGCCUGGCCUCGGGAAGAGGUUUGCUGCAGGAUGGCCAUGACAAUGGUAAAUUGCAGAAAGAGGCCUGGCGUUCUCUUUUGCACAGCAUUUCUUGUAUCUGGGUGGAGCUGCUUCUUGGCGGAUAUGUUUUCGUAUCCUGGCUGCUCUGAAUGUGCUGGGUCAUGUUCAGAAAAGCCACCUUCUCAGGUGGGAAAAUCAGGCACUGAACUUGUUUGGGGAAGCCCAGAUUUUGCCAGGGCUGGUCCCUUGGACUUGUAGAAUGGGCUGUCUCUGAUUCUGGAGAUAACAGUGGGUUGUGAGGGUGAAGGAGCUUGUCUGGCACUAUGCCUGGGUCUGGGCUUAGCUGUUCCCCUUAUCUGGUGUGUGUGUCUAUGUAUGUGGCCAUCGGGCUGGGUGGGUAAGUGUGGCUGACUCAGGAUCUGGUUUUCUCAGCAUCCACCAUAGCCCUUGGCCCUAGGGGCCCAUGAGCAUGGGCUUGGUUCCACUACAACCUCUGUGUUCUCUCUCUCUCUCUCUCUUUUUCUUUUUGUAUUUUUAUGGCUGCACCUGCUACAUAUGGAAGUUCCCAGGCUAGGGGUCAAAUGGGAGCUGCAGCUGCUGGCCUACACCACAGCCACAGCAAUGCCAGAUCUGAGCCUCAUCUGCAACCUACACCACAGCUCUUGGCAAUGCCAGAUCCUUAAUCCACUGAGUGAGGCCAGGGAUCGAACCUAUGUCCUCAUGGAUACUAGUCAGGUUUGUUUCCACUGAGCCACAACGGGAACUCCACUAGUUGGGUUCUUAACCCCCUGAGCCACAAUAGGAACUCCCCAACCUGAGUUUUAAAAUGGGACUGGAGGGGAGCCAGGCUGGUGGGGCAUCCAGAGGAAGUGAUGCUGAUGGCAGAUGCUAUUUGCCAGGCCCUGAGAUAAGGGCUUUACAGGUGUUACACCCUUCAGGGCUCACAACCACUCCUCGGGGAGGUGGCUGCCGACGUCCCUGCUUUCCAGAUGAGGACACAGAGGCAGAGGGGUGUGGCAACGCGCUCGAGCUCACAUAACUGAAAAGCAGCAGAAACAGGAAGUGAACCAAAGCUCUUGGGGGCACUGGGCCGUGUGGUCACACCCAGCACUGUGCCCCCCGGGCCAUCAGCUGGCCAGAGGGUUGCAAUCCGUGUACAGAUGGAGGCAGGUGCCCUCUGCCUGGGCUCGGGCUGCGUGCCUGGCCCUUCCUCAGUUUUCCCACCACGCAUGCCCCCCCUCCAGUCUCCACCACCUCUGCUGGACUGCAGAAACCGGGGCUCCGGAGCACCAGCCCCUCCACUUUGGGGCUUGAUUGCCAGCUCCUCUGAGCUCCUCAAGAGCAAGACUCCCGCCUGGGCCUCACACCCACCCUCGCUGCCAUGUCCCCUCUGCCAGCCGGGCCCACACGUGCCCCUGCGUACCCAAGUUCCCUAUCUUCCAAAGCAUCGUGAAAACCCCUUCCGUUCACACCCAACUUCCGCUUCCUUUGCUGUUCAGCCCCACAGGAGAGUUUUCCAUAUUUGUUCUCUGAAAUGUGUCUCCUGUUCUAUCCCAAAGCCCCUUCUCAUCAGACUCGAAAGCCUGACUCCGUCCGAUGGUUCUUACCGAGGCCGCUGCUGAUCUGUGAUGCUGGGUCUGUGGUCUGGUCUCCCGUCUCAUCUUGCUGUCCCAACAGCUGGCCUCGCCCGCUUGCCUCCAGGACACUUGAUGCUCUCGGGUCUCCCGCUCACUGGCCACUUCUUUGCUUGUUCCACCUCUUGGCUCUGCCUCCUCUGGGGUGCCUGGUGCUCAGCCUCCACCUCCUACAUCCCUGGCUGUCCUCGGGGGGUCUCGUCCAGCCCCUCGGUUUAAAAUACCCUCUCUGGUCCUUAGGAUGCCCAUUGGUCUCCAGCCCAGAACUCUCUCUUGCUCCUCGGUAUCAUAGAUUUCAUGGCCUCCUUGACGUCCCGGGGUGAGCGAAUCCAAAAGUAAACUGGUGAUGAACCCUGCCCCCCUCCCCCCCGGAAUCUAAGCCACCUGCAGCCUCAGCCCCCUGGGGAAUGGCCGCUCCACCCUUCAGUGGCUCAGGUCAGACACUCUGGAGCCAUCUGUACCUGCUCUCUCAGCCACUGUGUCUGGAGAGCCCACUGGCUCUGCCUUCCAUUUGUAUCCGGAAGCCGAACGCUUCCUCCCACCUGCGCUGCGGCCCCCAUCCAAGCCCCCAUCACCUCGCACCUGCGUUCCUGCCGUAGCUUCCACCUGGUCUCCGGGCCUCCAUCACUACCUCCCUUGGUCUGUUCCCACGCAGCAUCCAGACUGCCCUUUUGAAAACACAGACAGAGCAUCCCCCUUCCUUGCUCUGAACCCUCUGGUGGCAUCCCACCUCCGAGGAAAAGCCACAUCUUCAAUAUCCCUGUCUGCCUCUGAUUCCCUGACAUCCCUUCACGCCUCCCCGCGCUCUCGCUGGCCUCCCUGAAAGGCCAUAUGAUCCUGCUGCACUGGCUUCCUUGCUCUUCCUGGAACAUCCCAGGCACACCCGGCCUCCUCAGGGCCUUUGCACAGGCUGUUCCUUCUGCCAAGGUCACCCUUUCCCAGGGCAGUCUCAGGGCCCAGUUCCUGGCCUCCUUCACAUCUUUGGUCAAUUAGCUCCUUUUUUUCUUUUUUGUUGGCUGCAACAUGCAGCAGCAACGUGUGGGAUCUCCGUUCCCAGACCAGGGACUGAGCCUGGGCUGCAGAGGUGAAAAUGCCGCGUCCUAAACACUAGAGCACCAGGAUGCUCUCAGUUGUCUCCUUAAGGAGACACACCCUGAUCACCUGCUAUGGAAAAUGCAGCUCACCCCACCCAGUGGGCCCCCACUGCCUGGUUAUGUUUUUCCCAUCGCACUCAUCCACUUCUAGCAGAGUAGACAAUAUCUAUUUAUUAUAAUAUUUCUGUUUUGUGUAUUGUUUACAGUUCAUCCCACUUGAACGAAAGCUUUGUGCAGGAAAGGGUCCUGGUUUUCUUCACUGAGGAACCUCGGACUCUUGGCACAGUUCCUGGCACAGAGUCGCUGCUCAAAGAUAUGGGUUGAAUGGCAGUGAAAUGACCUUUAGAAGGAGGUUUUGAGGGAAAGAGAUGAGCCUCAACUGAGGGGUGAAGGAUUUCUAGAACGUACCCAACAUUAUGGUUCCAACAUAGAGUUCCUCUAUGAGUCUGUGAAUGGGGUGCUGACAUCCUGUGUUUACUGGAAAACCUGGGACCUGGAAGCCUCGAAAUGCUAUAUGGCGGCCCUACUUGACCACAUGUCCCCUUUUGCUAGAAUGGAGAAACACCUACACUCAGAAGUGGAUAAAGCCCUGUGAUGUCCCCAGCCCCCACCAGCCAGCCUUAGCUCCUCUACAACCUCCUUCCUCUGUUUUCAUGAUUAUAGAAAUUCACCUCUUUUCUUCAACUGUAUCCGCCUUUUCGUGCUGCGGGAAUGACAGCAAUAAACCCAGGUGUCAGGAAAUCUACCUGGGAUUAUUAAAAUAACAUCAGUUCCGCUGUCUUCUGUAUCUAAGUAACUACAUAAGGCACAUGCUUCAGACACUCAAAACCACACUACACCAACAUUUGAGGUUAUUUUUAUUUUUUGUCUUUUUGCUAUUUCUUGGGCCACUCCUGCGGCAUAUAGAGGUUCCCAGGCUAGGGGUCUAAUCGGGGCUGUAGCCACCGGCCUACGCCAGAGCCACAGCAACGCGGGAUCCGAGCCGCGUCUGCAACCUACACCACAGCUCACAGCAACGCCGGAUCGUCAACCCACUGAGCAAGGGCAGGGACCGAACCCGAAACCUCAUGGUUCCUAGUCGGAUUCGUUAACCACUGCGCCACGACGGGAACUCCCUGAGGUUAUUUUUAAAAACUAGACCUACAAAGCAGCGGCAGCUGUGCAGGUGAAUUCUGAACUUCGGGGCCACUGCUGGUGCCCCAGGAUCUGGGCUGCCCAAGUGCAAGGAAUGUGGGUGGUCCUUGGUCACCCAGGAAGGGUGUCACCUUCUGAGGCUGUUUUGACCCCACUGAAGGGAUUUAGUUGCUGAAAACCUGGCCUUGGUUUAGGAGGCAGCUUUGCUGAUAAGUCUGUUGCAUAGAUUUCAAGGACGAUGUCUGGUAACAGAAGAGCCAAGUGUAAUUGCCUGUAUCUUCGUCAAACUAAGAAACUACGCAUACAAUGGUAUGGAAUAAACCCCUCGAAUAU